UUGAGUUCUCCAGUCUCCUGUUGUGUCCAUGGUGUUGGUUCUCUUCUCUGUAU
This 53-nucleotide small RNA is filed under the name Arabidopsis thaliana (thale cress). RNAcentral describes it as "ATSL010630". Lineage: Eukaryota; Viridiplantae; Streptophyta; Magnoliopsida; Brassicales; Brassicaceae. The record is from RNAcentral.